RNAcentral lists this ribosomal RNA (497 nucleotides) under uncultured bacterium. Its description in RNAcentral is "partial 16S ribosomal RNA". It matches the Rfam family "Bacterial small subunit ribosomal RNA", at positions 28 to 507 of the family's 1533-position model. The record is from RNAcentral.
GACGAACGCUGGCGGCGUGCCUAAUACAUGCAAGUUGAGCGAUGAAGAUUGGUGCUUGCCCCAAUUUGAAGAGCAGCGAACGGGUGAGUAACGCGUGGGGAAUCUGCCUUUGAGCGGGGGACAACAUUUGGAAACGAAUGCUAAUACCGCAUAACAACUUUAAACAUAAGUUUUAAGUUUGAAAGAUGCAAUUGCAUCACUCAAAGAUGAUCCCGCGUUGUAUUAGCUAGUUGGUGAGGUAAAGGCUCACCAAGGCGAUGAUACAUAGCCGACCUGAGAGGGUGAUCGGCCACAUUGGGACUGAGACACGGCCCAAACUCCUACGGGAGGCAGCAGUAGGGAAUCUUCGGCAAUGGACGAAAGUCUGACCGAGCAACGCCGCGUGAGGGAAGAAGGGUGUCGGAUCGUAAAACUCUGUUGGUAGAGAAGAACGUUGGUGAGAGUGGAAAGCUCAUCAAGUGACGGUAACUACCCAGAAAGGGACGGCUAACUACGUG